UACCAGCACCCCGAGUGGUCGGGACGAUUAUUGGGCCUAAAGCCUCCGUAGCCGGUCUUGCAAGUCUUCCGUUAAAUCCAGCUGCUUAACAGAUGGGCUGCGGAGGAUACUACAAGGCUAGGAGGCGGGAGAGGCAAGCGGUACUCAGUGGGUAGGGGUAAAAUCCUCUGAUCCAUUGAAGACCACCAGUGGCGAAGGCGGCUUGCCAGAACGCGCUCGACGGUGAGGGAUGAAAGCUGGGGGAGCAAACCGG
This 253-nucleotide ribosomal RNA is filed under the name uncultured bacterium. RNAcentral describes it as "partial 16S ribosomal RNA". It matches the Rfam family "Archaeal small subunit ribosomal RNA", at positions 474 to 727 of the family's 1478-position model. The record is from RNAcentral.